Molecule: ribosomal RNA, 44 nt
Filed under: fungal sp. MR01
Lineage: Eukaryota; Fungi
Also listed under: 3 other names
Description: partial 28S ribosomal RNA
Source: RNAcentral
CGACCUCAAAUCAGGCAGGACUACCCGCUGAACUUAAGCAUAUC